RNAcentral lists this ribosomal RNA (431 nucleotides) under uncultured Elusimicrobium sp. Its description in RNAcentral is "bacterial SSU rRNA". It matches the Rfam family "Bacterial small subunit ribosomal RNA", at positions 958 to 1385 of the family's 1533-position model. Lineage: Bacteria; Pseudomonadati; Elusimicrobiota; Elusimicrobia; Elusimicrobiales; Elusimicrobiaceae. The record is from RNAcentral.
AACGCGAAGAACCUUACCUGGGCUUGAACUACUCGUGGUAGUUCGCUGGAAACAGUGGACGACCCGCAAGGGAGCGAGCAGAGGUGCUGCAUGGUUGUCGUCAGCUCGUGUCGUGAGAUGUUGGGUUAAGUCCCGCAACGAGCGCAACCCCUAUCCAAUGUUGCCACUCCCGCAAGGGAAGCACUCUUUGGAAACUGCCUUCGAUAAGAAGGAGGAAGGUGGGGACGACGUCAAAUCCUCAUGGCCCUUAUGUCCAGGGCUACACACGUGUUACAAUGGCCGGUACAAUGGGAAGCAAUGCCGCAAGGUGGAGCCAAACCCACAAAGCCGGCCCCAGUUCAGAUUGUGGGCUGCAACUCGCCCACAUGAAGGCGGAAUCGCUAGUAAUCGCUGAUCAGCAGGCAGCGGUGAAUACGUUCCCGGGCCUUGUA